Long non-coding RNA from Patella vulgata (common limpet), 965 nucleotides. RefSeq lists it as uncharacterized. The transcript is spliced from 7 exons. Lineage: Eukaryota; Metazoa; Mollusca; Gastropoda; Patellidae. The record is from RefSeq and is a predicted model, not a curated record.
UGUACAGUUAUUUUCGUUUUCUCUAAGGAUACUUACAUUUCGGAUAUUGUUUUAUUAAGAAACUAUUUUGGCCCCAAGGGCUGUAGAAAUCAAGAUAUGAAGCAAUACAAUAUAAUUUUAGCGACUGUGAUAAUUUGUGUGGAUUUCAUUGUUUUAUUAAAAGCUCAACGGCGAGAAAUACCUGUUGAUUGUCCUGCUGGUUGGGAUGCUAUAGAUGCUGUUUGUUAUAAAUUAUUUACCGAUCCUGUACCAUAUGAUAGUGCUCAUAAAGUCUGCCAAACGUAUGGAUCUGAGUUAGUACGUCCUAAAGACUACUAUAACAAUGAUGAUAUUGGCAAAUAUGCUGAAACCAUGGGUGGUAGUGAUUUCUGGAUUGGAGCCAAUCGAAUGGGAAUCAGUCCAGGAACCCUGGAUAAUAUUAAUUACGGUCAGUCAGUCAUUAAAACUACUAAUGUUGGUUAUUGGGCUGACUACCAACCGGAUAUCAAAAAGGGAGAAUGUGUUUAUGUUACAAAAGCUGAUGAUCGGUUUAAAUGGAGUUUCGGUCCUUGUGAGAAAAAGGUUCAGUAUGUUUGUUCCAGACCAGCCUGUUCUCAAGGAAGUUUUCAUUGUGUAAAUCAGAAAUGUUUAAACCAGUCAUUAACAUGUGACGGUGAAGAUGAUUGUGGUGAUAUGUCAGACGAACAAAACUGCGCUGAUCGAUGUGGAACUGUCUUUAAGCAAGCAUCUGGGAACAUCAUGUCUAAAAACUUCCCUAGUCCUUAUCAAAUGAAUACAAAUUGUUUAUGGUUGGUUGAAGUGCCACUAGGCUCUAACGCACAUAUCAAGUUUACAGAUUUUAUGACAGAAGAAGGAUUAGACAUUGUGAGAAUUUAUGUUGGUGGCAAAACAGAAUCUAUGUCCCAUCACGUUGCAACCCUUUCUGGAAAUAUGAGUGCCAAUUUACCUGAAUUCACCAGUUCCAA